GUCUCCGGCCAUGCCGCCCUGAACACGCCCGACCUCGUCUGAGCUCGGAAGCUAAGCAGGGUCGGGCCUGGUUAGUACUUGGAUGGGAGACCACCUACAAAGACCGUAUGCUGUAGGUG
This 119-nucleotide ribosomal RNA is filed under the name Pteropus alecto (black flying fox). Lineage: Eukaryota; Metazoa; Chordata; Mammalia; Chiroptera; Pteropodidae. The record is from RNAcentral.